Long non-coding RNA from Nelumbo nucifera (sacred lotus), 2115 nucleotides. RefSeq lists it as uncharacterized. The record is from RefSeq and is a predicted model, not a curated record. NCBI's taxonomy places the organism in Eukaryota, Viridiplantae, Streptophyta, Magnoliopsida, Proteales, Nelumbonaceae.
GUUCCCGCAUUUCCUUCUUCAACGUGAGGGAGUCUGCAGUACCUCCUUCCUUAUAUUUGGAGUUUCCCCUUCGAGCUUAGUAUUCUUCCUAUUCUUGGAGUUAAUUUCCUAAUCGAAUUGGAUUACACAUUCCGAGUUCGUCUCUGCCCUUUCUCUUCUAGUUUCUUGAUAAACACAAACCUUGAGUUCCCCUUAAUCCCAAAGCUUUAGGGUUUUGAAUUCUUUGAUGAUAAAUAGGGUUCUGAUCGAAGAAAGAGAAGAAAGGGGUUAGCAUCAUCCUGACUUGGAGCAUCCGAUUGAUAUACUUCAACCGAUUGGAGGAUAAGUUUAUUGAAGGAAAAAGCUGCUCCAUUCAUACCACUUCAACGGCACAGCAAGCCUGAAGGGGUUUUCGUGGAGAUUUACGGUUUAGUAGAGCAGAAAGUCAACACGAUGAAGAAGUGUAAGAGAAGGAAGGAAGAUAUUGCAGAGGAUUUCUGCUUCAUCUGCGAGGAUGGGGGAUUCCCUAUUAUCUGUGAUCAUAAGAGGGCUUGCAGAGAUUAUGAUGUUCCAGAGCCUUCUUUUGGGUGGAAGAUCAGAGGUAUAUGACCAAUACAGGGAUUGGCGGCUUGAUGUUGAUAAUAUGACAUAUGAGUAAUUGCUUGAACUGGGAGAUAAAAUUGGAUAUGUAAAUACUGGUUUAAGAGAAGAUGAGACAUUCCAUUGCUGCAGAAAAAUUAAGCACUCCUUUAUGGAGGAUCUGCAAUCGCAUAUUCCCACUAAAACAGAUUGGAAAUGUAGCAUUUGUCAAGAAGAAUAUGUAGUUGAUGAUGAGGUGGGAAAGCUGGACUGUAGCCACAGUUAUCACCUAUUUUGUGUAAAGCAAUGGCUUCUGCAGAAGAAUGCUUGCCCUGUCUGCAAGGCUGUUGUAGCAGCUCAAUACUAAGAUUGGAAAUCAUUCAAGAAUAUGAUGCUGAUAAUGAGAUGGGAAAGCUGGAUUGUAGCCAGAGCUGUCACAUGUUUUUUUUGAACCAGUGGCUUCUGGAGUGCUUGCCCAGCAGCCAUGCUGCCAAGUGCCAGCUCAAUAUUAAGAUUGACUUCAUUUGAACCUCAGUGUCUGCCAAUGGGUAUUGGAUCAGUGUUUCUCCUUUAUUGCUUUUUGUACAGCUUUCGACUGAAAUAAGCAUGCAUCCAAUCUUUGUUGGAACUCACAUAUAUAUGGAGGUGAAACAAGGAUCUACUGCAAUGACAAAAGCUGAGCAGUCGCAGGAUUAAUUUCAGUGAUACUGAUGAGACUGCAUCAAGACAGAUGAUGAUGAAAGAAUCUAUCCCCAAAUCCUCAAAUAAAGCCAGCAGCAAAAGUAAGAGCAUAAUUGGACUGGUAGAUGGUGAACCUGAGGAUGGAAAUAAAACAGGAAAGAAGAGAAACCUUGGAAUAAAAAUGGAAUCACCAAACCUGCAUCAAGUGUUCAGUUAAUUAUAAUGCUUCCACUACUACUUACUAUUUUCCUUUUUAUUUCUUUGCCAAUGGAGAUACUUUCUGGGAGCCAAUUUGCACUGAAAAUUGCAUUCAACACCGGAUGGGAAUGCUGUAGAUGACUUCCCUUCAUCUUAUGAGUAGGAUAAAAAGUCCUGCAGUUGGAAGAAAAUUGAGACAGUACCUACUCUGCCCAUAUUUCUGAAGUUCCAGGAUGUCAAAUACAAGGUAGUUAUGAACAAGAGAAGAAGCCCAGAUGCUCAGAAGUACAUACUCUAUGGGAUUACAAGUUCAGUACAACCGGGUUCGUGCAAUAACAUUCAGUACAACCGGGUUCGUGCAAUAACUCUAUGAGUCUAGAGUUCAUCCAAUAAGUGAAGCUGAAGAUGUUGAAAUGACAAACAAUGUAAAUGAAUCACAAAUAACAUCAAGGAUUCAAAACUAGGAAGUUUAUAUCAUGAUUGAUCUAAUCCUUGUUAUAUAUUUGAUGGAAAGAUUGCCUUGGUUGAUCAAUAUGUGGCUAGCUUUUUGUACAAGCGCAGUUGGAGGAUGUGGCCUUGUAAUAGACUAACAGUAAUAUGUGUGCAAUGUAAAGUGUGAACACUCUUUAAUGAUUGUAUUGAAUUCUUGAUUAGAAUUGCAAAUCGGAUUUUAGAUUA